GUGUCAGCAGGAAUUUAAAUGAUUAGGAAAUCCGGGAAUACCAGAAUUUGCUAAGUAUACUGGAGGCACUAAAACUGAAUAACUCUGCUAAUUGUAUGAAAUGGACGUUGAAUCAAAAUGAGUUGUUUUCUGCCAAGUCAUAUUACUGUUUUAUCAGGGGGGAAGGGGAUGACAUAAUCUGCAUCUUUCCAGCAAAACAGAUCUGGAAAUCUAGAGUGACACCUAGGGUUGCUUUCUUUGCUUGGGAGGCUGCCAGGUGAUGUAUUUUGACACAAAAUAAGUUAAUUUCGAGGGGU
RNAcentral lists this long non-coding RNA (296 nucleotides) under Carica papaya (papaya). RNAcentral's name for it is "long non-coding RNA (CPAP_LNC004385)". Lineage: Eukaryota; Viridiplantae; Streptophyta; Magnoliopsida; Brassicales; Caricaceae. The record is from RNAcentral.